RNAcentral lists this ribosomal RNA (447 nucleotides) under uncultured soil bacterium. Its description in RNAcentral is "bacterial SSU rRNA". It matches the Rfam family "Bacterial small subunit ribosomal RNA", at positions 26 to 475 of the family's 1533-position model. The record is from RNAcentral.
AGAGUGAACGCUGGCGGCAGGCCUAACACAUGCAAGUCGAGCGGCAGCGCGGGGCAACCUGGCGGCGAGCGGCGGACGGGUGAGGAAUGCAUCGGAAUCUACCCUGUCGUGGGGGACAACGUAGGGAAACUUACGCUAAUACCGCAUACGACCGAGGGGUGAAAGUGGGGGACCGCAAGGCCUCACGCGAGUGGAUGAGCCGAUGCCGGAUUAGCUAGUUGGUGGGGUAAAGCCCACCAAGGCGACGAUCCGUAGCUGGUCUGAGAGGAUGAUCAGCCACAUUGGGACUGAGACACGGCCCAAACUCCUACGGGAGGCAGCAGUGGGGAAUAGUGGACAAGUGGGCGCAAGCCUGAUCCAGCCAUGCCGCGUGUGUGAAGAGGCCUUCGGGUGUAAGCUACGUUUGUUACGGAAGAAGUCGUUAGACGGGUUAAUACCCGAGUACGG